RNAcentral lists this ribosomal RNA (301 nucleotides) under uncultured bacterium. RNAcentral's name for it is "partial 16S ribosomal RNA". It matches the Rfam family "Bacterial small subunit ribosomal RNA", at positions 509 to 807 of the family's 1533-position model. The record is from RNAcentral.
CAGUAGCCGCGGUAAUACGGAGGGGGCUAGCGUUGUUCGGAAUUACUGGGCGUAAAGCGCACGUAGGCGGCUUGGUAAGUUAGAGGUGAAAGCCCAGGGCUCAACCCUGGAAUUGCCUUUAAGACUGCCGAGCUAGUAGGUGAGAGAGGUAAGCGGAAUUCCGAGUGUAGAGGUGAAAUUCGUAGAUAUUCGGAAGAACACCAGUGGCGAAGGCGGCUUACUGGCUCAUUCUAGACGCUGAGGUGCGAAAGCGUGGGGAGCAAACAGGAUUAGAUACCCGCGUAGUCCCUGUCUCUUAUAC